Molecule: ribosomal RNA, 532 nt
Filed under: Caledopteryx sarasini
Lineage: Eukaryota; Metazoa; Arthropoda; Insecta; Odonata; Argiolestidae
Description: partial 16S ribosomal RNA
Rfam family: Bacterial large subunit ribosomal RNA
Source: RNAcentral
GUCUUCUUGGUUUUAAUUAGAAGUUUGGCCUGCCCGGUGAAUUGUUUUAACGGCCGCGGUAUCUUGACCGUGCAAAGGUAGCAUAAUCAUUAGUCUUUUAAUAGGGGGCUGGAAUGAAGGGUUUCACGAAGUAAUAGCUGUCUCUUAUGAAUUAUUUUAAAAUUUAAUUUUUAGGUUAAAAGGCCUAGAUGUUGUUGGAAGACGAGAAGACCCUAUAGAGCUUUAUAUUUAUUUUUUUGAUUUUUGUUGGGUAAUCAUUAUUAAUUAUUUCAAUAUUUAUUUUGUUGGGGUGACAAAAAAUAUAUUUUUAACUUUUAUAUUUAUUAUACAUUGAUAUAUGUUUAUUAGAUCCAUUAUUAUUGAUCAUUAGAAUAAGUUACCUUAGGGAUAACAGCGUAAUCCCUCUUUGGAGUUCGAAUUUACAGGGGGGCUUGCGACCUCGAUGUUGGAUUAAGAUAAUAGUUAGGUGCAGUAGCUUAAUCAAUAGGUCUGUUCGACCUUUAAAUUCUUACAUGAUCUGAGUUCAGACCGG